Long non-coding RNA from Drosophila sechellia, 503 nucleotides. RefSeq lists it as uncharacterized. The record is from RefSeq and is a predicted model, not a curated record. The transcript has 3 exons. Lineage: Eukaryota; Metazoa; Arthropoda; Insecta; Diptera; Drosophilidae.
GUCGAGUUGGUGGCGGUAUAUCAAAGAGCUUUUGUUAACCGCCCCCUCGAGUGGAGUGGAGGAUAAAUGUGUAGACGGAGAGGACGUCACAAACUGUUGAAAGCGCAAAGUGAAAGAUAUAUGACUUCAAUUUGCAAAAAUUGUACCACCUCAGUAAAGUGGGCAAGGACUCGCAGAUAACAAAAGGUUUACUAUUUGGUGUCUAGGAAACGUUACAUUUGAAGUCUACUAAGCUGGAUUUAGUCAACAGGAUUGCUUGCAUAUCGAAUAUGAUAAAAGCAUAACGUUGAACAUUAAAGCAAAUGGAAGAUCAUAUGGAUUCACUUUUCGCUGGAUUUAUGGCGUAAGGAAACUGUGAGUUGAUGUCCAGACAUAGAUGAAGGAUAUCCCACCAUAGGAAACACAAUGACUCUAGAAAUGCAAACCACUUCAAAUCCAGUAAGUGCCAUCAAUAUCCACAAGACCUGCUGGACACCAGUCAACGCACCAGGAGGCUGCACCGA